UACGUAGGGUGCGAGCGUUACUCGGAAUUACUGGGCGUAAAGCGUGCGCAGGCGGUUUGUUAAGUCUGAUGUGAAAGCCCCGGGCUCAACCUGGGAACUGCAUUGGAAACUGGCAAGCUCGAGUAUGGCAGAGGGGGGUGGAAUUCCGCGUGUAGCAGUGAAAUGCGUAGAGAUGCGGAGGAACACCGAUGGCGAAGGCAGCCCCCUGGGCCAAUACUGACGCUCAGGCACGAAAGCGUGGGGAGCAAACAGG
RNAcentral lists this ribosomal RNA (253 nucleotides) under uncultured bacterium. RNAcentral describes it as "partial 16S ribosomal RNA". It matches the Rfam family "Bacterial small subunit ribosomal RNA", at positions 524 to 776 of the family's 1533-position model. The record is from RNAcentral.